This 1268-nucleotide long non-coding RNA is filed under the name Homo sapiens (human). RNAcentral describes it as "HSALNT0382835". The record is from RNAcentral. Lineage: Eukaryota; Metazoa; Chordata; Mammalia; Primates; Hominidae.
UGCGCAUGGACCCUUCCAGGCUCCAUGAGGUUCCUGUGUAUCAACAGCUGCAAAGGCAAAGGGAUUGGCCUCCUGGGCAGAAAGGGGCCAAAAGGGAGGGCCCUUUGGAGGAGCGUGGCUCUGGUGAGGGGUGGAGGUGAGACCCACACUUAUGCUCUGAUGCCUUGCAACUGAUUUCCUCCAGAUACAAACAGGGCAGCUGAAUGGGGAGAUGGCCUCCCCCAUCAGAGGCAGUUCCCAGCCAGCUUCCUUGGAUGGCCACACAGGAAUCACUCCACACACCAUCCCUGAGAAGCAGAACCACAGGGAAACCUCUUGUCCCUCUGGAAACUCAGUUACAAUCAGUUCAGCACUUGAAGGAAGGAUCUCGAAACAUUACAGCCCGAAGAACAAGAGGGUGAAACUGUGGAGGCCUCAGCAUCUUCUACCCAGAGUGUGCCCAAGCUAUACCCUGGGGCAGCCACCAGCAUCAAGAGCUUCAGGCCAGUAGGGAGCUAGGGGACCUCUUGGUCCCAUUUCCUUGAUAACAUCAGAAAUCUGAAGAACAACUCUCCAGCAAGGCACGGGCUUCAACUGAAGCCCUCUUCCCAAGUCAUACUAAAACAAGAACUGACCCCAGCUGCGGGUGCUUCUCUCUGCCCGCACAUCCCUCUUCCAGCCUGCUCCAUAUGCAGCCCCACACAGUGGGGGUUCCUGUUGGGAUUGUGUGUCUGGGGCAAGUGACCUUACCACCCCAAGCCUCCAUUUCCUCAGAAGUCAAACAGGGAUGGGGAUGCUGACUUUCCGGGAAGCCAGCUCACUUUGCUUUCAACUUCCAAGUCCACUGAAAGUUUCCAGUCCCGGGAUUUUAGGAAGAAGAAAGAAGAUACUAGACAUUUCUAUAUGGGAAGAUUUCUUUGCAGACAUGAGGAAGUUUCUUGACUUAGAAAGAUGUACCUGGUCCACUGUGGGCAUGCAGUGAAUGUUCAUCAAAUGAAAGGAAAAUAAGCACCUUCCAUAUAUAUGUGUGAAGUUCUGAAUUCGGCAUUGGCCUCAAGAAGGCUUCAAUGUUCAUCCUUUCCACUGGGCCAUCCCUAAAAUCCUUAAGCAGAGGGACUACCUCUGUACUUAAAGAUCUCCAAACAGAAAGAUAGCACAUUCUCUUUACAGCCAGUAGAAACUAUUGAGCUCAUCUCUCCAUUGACUCAUUCACUUGCUAACUCAUUUAUUGAGCACAUGCUAUGCGCCAGGCCUUGAGUAGGCACUGGGGAUACAGAAGUGAUUAUAAA